This is a microRNA precursor of Patagioenas fasciata monilis, 83 nucleotides long. It matches the Rfam family "mir-221 microRNA precursor family". The record is from Rfam. Lineage: Eukaryota; Metazoa; Chordata; Aves; Columbiformes; Columbidae.
CUUAUCAAUCGCUCAGUAGUCAGUGUAGAUCCUGUCUUUACAAUCAGCAGCUACAUCUGGCUACUGGGUCUCUGAUGACAACU